GGAGAUCUUUUCAGAAAAUCCUUGUCUGUGCCUGUAUCUUGAAAGGCUUUGGUUUUGUUUUCUUCUAGCAGUUUCAAAGUUUUAGGUCUCAUAUGGAGGUCUCAUAUGGAUAGUCUGAAGUGGUUUUUGUGCAAGCUAAGAACAGCAUUAUCCACUCUCCAUACGUAAAGGUACAGGGUCCGAAGUGCCGCGCACAUCUCGCAAAGCCUCGUAGCUGCAAGUGUGCCUUCCACACUCCCCUGAGCUCGUUGAUCUCCUUUGUAAGAUUCCGGAGGGCUAGGAAGAUGUCCCAGUGGGUGAGAUAUUGGAUGUGGAAGCAAAUUCGAAGAUGUCGGCUUAGAUCCCAGCACUCACGGAGAAAGCCACGUGUGGAGGACGCUCGGUAUUGCAGUUAAACCAGAUCAGCGUUUGUUCUCAGGUUCAUUUGCCGUAGUAAGGCCAACCUCGAUUGCAGAUUCUAUCAUCUUCUACUACAAUAUUAUGGACUCCCAGAACUACAAAGUCUAUUGAUCUCCAAAUCUCAGAGGACCUGAUAUGAAUACCUUGGAAGACCAACCACACUGCUCGAGGCUAAGACACUGACAUCUGUCUGAUAAAUGAAUGCCUUCUCUUCUAUACAACUUAGUUCUUCAUCUGUACUAUUAGUUCUUCAAGAUCGGAACCUGAAUGUGAUUUUCCUUGCAAGCACACUAGUAGCUGAAUAACUACCUGGCAUGAGGGAAACCAAAAAUGUAAGUAUGACUUGCUCGAGCUAUCCAAAUUGUGGGGCUGAGGUGGGAGAAAACUUUGCAUCCCAAUAUUGGUAAAGGCUGAGUCAAGUUCCAUGAAAAAUGGUUGCUAUCACUCUGAGAGUUUCUUGCUGCUGCAGUGCUGCUAGUCUUAGUUAGGGCUUCCAUUCCUUGAAGAGACACUAUGACCAAGGCAACUCUUAUAAAGGCAAACAUUUAAUUGGGGCUGGCUUACAGUUUCAGAGAUUCAGUCCAUUGUCAUCAUAGGAAGCAUGACAGCGUGCAGUCAACAGAAGCAUGAUGGGGAAGGAGCUAAGAGUUCUGCAUCUUGC
This is a long non-coding RNA of Rattus norvegicus (Norway rat), 1060 nucleotides long. Ensembl lists it as uncharacterized. The record is from Ensembl. NCBI's taxonomy places the organism in Eukaryota, Metazoa, Chordata, Mammalia, Rodentia, Muridae.